GAUGAACGCUGGCGGCGUGCCUAAUACAUGCAAGUCGAGCGAACAGACGAGGAGCUUGCUCCUCUGACGUUAGCGGCGGACGGGUGAGUAACACGUGGAUAACCUACCUAUAAGACUGGGAUAACUUCGGGAAACCGGAGCUAAUACCGGAUAAUAUAUUGAACCGCAUGGUUCAAUAGUGAAAGACGGUUUUGCUGUCACUUAUAGAUGGAUCCGCGCCGCAUUAGCUAGUUGGUAAGGUAACGGCUUACCAAGGCAACGAUGCGUAGCCGACCUGAGAGGGUGAUCGGCCACACUGGAACUGAGACACGGUCCAGACUCCUACGGGAGGCAGCAGUAGGGAAUCUUCCGCAAUGGGCGAAAGCCUGACGGAGCAACGCCGCGUGAGUGAUGAAGGCCUUCGGAUCGUAAAACUCUGUUAUUAGGGAAGAACAAAAGUGUAAGUAACUAUGCACGUCUUGACGGUACCUAAUCAGAAAGCCACGGCUAACUACGUG
RNAcentral lists this ribosomal RNA (497 nucleotides) under uncultured bacterium. Its description in RNAcentral is "partial 16S ribosomal RNA". It matches the Rfam family "Bacterial small subunit ribosomal RNA", at positions 28 to 507 of the family's 1533-position model. The record is from RNAcentral.